GCGCCAGCCGCCGCGGUAAGACAAACCGUGCGAACGUUGUUCGGAAUCACUGGGCUUAAAGCGCGUGUAGGCGGGGCGGCACGUCGGUCGCUGAAAUCCCCCGGCUUAACCGGGGAACGGGCGCCGAUACGACCGUCCUGGAGGAACGUAGGGGGAGCUGGAACUUCCGGUGGAGCGGUGAAAUGCGUUGAGAUCGGAAGGAACGCCCGUGGCGAAAGCGAGCUCCUGGACGUUUUCUGACGCUGAGACGCGAAAGCCAGGGGAGCGAACGGGAUUAGAAACCCUUGUAGUCC
Molecule: ribosomal RNA, 293 nt
Filed under: uncultured bacterium
Lineage: Bacteria
Description: partial 16S ribosomal RNA
Rfam family: Bacterial small subunit ribosomal RNA
Source: RNAcentral